This 484-nucleotide ribosomal RNA is filed under the name uncultured bacterium. Its description in RNAcentral is "partial 16S ribosomal RNA". It matches the Rfam family "Bacterial small subunit ribosomal RNA", at positions 30 to 507 of the family's 1533-position model. The record is from RNAcentral.
AUUGAACGCUGGCGGCAGGCCUAACACAUGCAAGUCGAGCGGAUGAAGGGAGCUUGCUCCUGGAUUCAGCGGCGGACGGGUGAGUAAUGCCUAGGAAUCUGCCUGGUAGUGGGGGAUAACGUCCGGAAACGGGCGCUAAUACCGCAUACGUCCUGAGGGAGAAAGUGGGGGAUCUUCGGACCUCACGCUAUCAGAUGAGCCUAGGUCGGAUUAGCUAGUUGGUGGGGUAAAGGCCUACCAAGGCGACGAUCCGUAACUGGUCUGAGAGGACGAUCAGUCACACUGGAACUGAGACACGGUCCAGACUCCUACGGGAGGCAGCAGUGGGGAAUAUUGGACAAUGGGCGAAAGCCUGAUCCAGCCAUGCCGCGUGUGUGAAGAAGGUCUCCGGAUUGUAAAGCACUUUAAGUUGGGAGGAAGGGCAGUAAGUUAAUACCUUGCUGUUUUGACGUUACCAACAGAAUAAGCACCGGCUAACUUCGUG